GCCCGCCCGCCUUCCCCCUGUCUCUCCCUUUCUCCCUCCUUCAUCUGCCAGACUCGCAUCCCUGCCCGUCGGUGGCAGCGGAGCGGAGGCCGAGCAUGGCGCCGGCGGCUGCCAAGGCAAGCGGAGGGUUCAGCCUCGUCGCCUGGCUCUUGCUGCUGCUGCUGGUGGCUACCUGCUGGGCUGCGCGCCCCCAAGAGCGGGUGAGUCGCCGGAGACGGAGCAGCCCGCGGGAGGAGGCGGGCCUGCGCGAUCGCGCCGCGGGAGCUCCGGCGGUGACGGCCUCGCUGCUCAGCACUUCGUUCGUGCUCAAAGGCGACGCGGCGCACAACCAGGCGAUGGUGCACUGGACGGGCGAGAACAGCAGCGUGAUUCUGAUCCUUACCAAGUAUUACCACAGUGACAUGGGCAAAGUUUUGGAAAGUUCAUUGUGGAGGUCUUCAGAUUUUGGGACAUUAUAUACCAAGCUGAAUCUACAGCCUGGAAUUACAACGGUCAUUGAAAAUUUCUACAUCUGCCCCACUAACAAAAAAAAGAUAAUUCUUGUAAGUUCUUCCCAUAAUGACCGGGACCAGAAUCUUUUUAUUAGCAUAGAUGAAGGAGCUACUUUUCAAAAGCAAUCUAUUAAUUUCUUUGUGGAAACCCUGAUUUUUCACCCAAAGCAGGAGGAUAAGGUGCUUGCCUACACCAAGGAUGGACAGCUCUAUGCAUCUGUUGACUUGGGGAUAAAGUGGACUCUCCUUCAAGACCAUGUGUCAAAAGACCAUAUUUUUUGGGCUGUUGAUAAAGUUGAUGAAGACCCUAAUUUGGUUCAUAUGGAAAUCCAGGAUUCCAGUGGAGGUUUUCAUUACAUGGCCUGUCAAUUUCCAAACUGUUCUGAUAAAACACCGAGAGAUCCAUUUUGGGGCAAUAUUGACAGAAACUCCCUGACAGUGCAGGAUGACUACAUAUUCCUUCAGACAUCAUCAGCAAACCAAACAAAGUAUUAUGUAUCUUACCGUCGGAAUGAAUUUGUACAGAUGAAACUGCCGAAGUAUGCUUUACCCAAGGAUUUACAAAUUAUCAGCACGGAUGAGAGCCAAGUAUUUGUGGCUAUCCAGGAAUGGUAUCAGACGGACACAUACAACCUGUACCAGUCUGACCCACAGGGCAUCUCCUACUCGAUCAUCUUGGAGAAUGUCAGGAGUACCAAGCAGCCUGAGGAGAAUGUGCUAAUUGAUAUUCUGGAGGUUAGGGGUGUCAAAGGAGUCUUUUUGGCCAAUCAGAAAAUAGAUGGAAAAGUUACUACUCUUAUAACAUUCAACAAAGGCCGUGACUGGGACUAUCUUACACCUCCAGCUGCUGAUAUGAAUGGUAAACCAACCAACUGCAAACCACCCGAUUGCCACCUUCACCUCCAUCUCCGCUGGCCAGACAAUCCAUAUGUGUCAGGAAUGGUUCAUACCAAGGAUACAGCGCCAGGACUCAUAAUGGGGGCAGGAAAUUUGGGUUCCCACCUUGUUGAGUAUAAAGAAGAAAUGUAUAUAACAUCUGACUGUGGCAAAACCUGGAGGCAGGUAUUUGAAGAGGAGCAUCACAUCUUGUAUCUGGAUCAUGGUGGAGUGAUUGUGGCCAUCAAAGACACCUCUAUUCCACUGAAAAUACUCAAGUUCAGUGUAGACGAAGGACAAACAUGGAGCACUCAUAAUUUCACUAGUACCUCAGUUUUUGUGGAUGGGCUACUCAGCGAGCCUGGUGAUGAGACUUUAGUCAUGACGGUUUUUGGGCACAUCAGUUUCCGCUCUGACUGGGAGUUGGUGAAGGUAGAUUUCCGGCCAUCUUUCCCCCGAGAAUGUACCCCUGAAGACUAUGAAUCAUGGGAUCUGACAAAUCUGCAGGGUGAUCACUGCAUCAUGGGACAGCGAAGAAGUUUUCGGAAGAGAAAGAGUUUAUCAUGGUGCAUGAAAGGAAGAAGCUUUAUGUCAGCACUCACUUCCAAAGUUUGUGAAUGUAACCAUUCCGAUUUCUUAUGUGAUUAUGGGUUUGAGCGCUCAGCAGAGGUAAAAUCUGAGUCUAGCACGUGUUUCGCUGACUUUUGGUUUAAACCAGAAACUCCUCCUGAAGACUGUACCUUAGGACAGGCCUACAGAAGCAGCACAGGGUAUCGAAAAGUCAUAUCCAAUGUGUGUGAGGGUGGUGUGGAUUUGCAGCAAAAUGUAUCUCAGCGCCUCUGUCCACUGACUGCUCCCAAAGGACUGCAAAUAAGCAUCAAAGGGGAGAGCCUGGCUGUUAAGCCUGGAGAAAAUGUCAGCUUUGUUGUCAAACAAAAUCAGGGAGAUGUUUUAAACACCAAGUACCGCGUGGACCUUGGCGAUGGCGUUAAGGCAAUAUAUGUGAACCUUACAUUGACAGGUGAACCCAUCCAACACCGCUAUGAGAGUCCUGGGGUUUACCGUGUCUCAGUGACUGCUGAAAAUGCUGCUGGCCAAGACGAAGCAGUUGUGUUCGUUCAGGUUCAAUCUCCACUGCAGGCUUUACAUCUAGAAGUGCUUCCUGUCAUUGGAAGAAACCAAGAGGUGAACUUGACAGCCAUAAUCCUGCCAAGGAACCCUAACUUUACACUCUUCUACUGGUGGAUUGGAAACAGUCUUCAGCCACUCCUUUCACUGGACAAUGUUUUGGUAACUACUUUUGUAGAGAUAGGAGAAAUCAGAGUUACAGUUCAGGCUUCCUGUGGGAACUCCAUGCUCCAAGAUUCCAAGAUUAUCCAGGUUUUGGAUCAUUUUCAAGUACUUCCACUCAGGUUUUCUGAACAUCUGGACUUGUAUAACCCGAACGUACCUGACUGGCGGGAAGACAUUGGCCUUGUGGUAACCCAGCAGAUUGCAAAGGAAACAAACAUACCUGAAGAAAGUCUUGUGACUGUAGUGAAACCUGGACUGCCCACAACUGCAAAUUUGCAUGUGCUUCUAUCCAUGAACCACCCAAAAAGGAAGAGGACUGUAUCAAGUGAUAAAAGAAUAGCUGCUAUUAAACAAUCCUUGAAUGCCCAUAACAUCAGUUUCUUCAUGAGAGGAGGGCACUGCGUCUUUGUGACCUUAGAUAGCUCUGAUUCAGAUUCACAGAGUCUUGGAGGAGGAGGAGGUUAUUGGGUGAUAGUGAUCCUUUUUGUCAUCUCUCUGGUGGCUGUAGGAGCGAUCAUUCUUUACAAGUUUAAAAGGAAAUUACCAGGAAGAAAUGUUUAUGCCCAGAUGCAAAAUGAAAAAGAACAAGAGAUGACCAGCCCUGUAAACCACAGAGAGGACACUCAAAAUAUCAUCCAGGGGGAGGAGUUCAUUGAUGAUGACCUUGAUUGUCAAACACUAGGAAAUGCAAGAGCAUCCACAAAAUACGUUACGCCACUGUCAGUACAUUGACACAAAUUUUAGGAUCCAUGUGCAGGAUGAAGAAAGUAUGGAAAAUUGUUAUGAUGAUGGAGAUGACUAUAAAUCACAGCUGUUCACUGGAGUAGUUCUGUAUGUCAGUGAAUGAGGUUUUUUUAAAAAAAAAAUUUUAAAGAUUAACAUACAUUAUGGAAGCAUUUGUUUUAUAACUUUUCAGUAAUUAAUAACCAAUGUGGAAAGGUAUUUUCUUGAUUGUAUUUUGUUCAUUCUAAACAUACAAUUGUGUUGGAAUCUGAAUUCUGAUUUGCUGAUAUGCAGCAGACGCUCUAGAUUUCUUUGAACUAUUUAUGAUCCCAUCACAUAGAAAUGAGCUCAUUUUUAAAAGAAUAUAUGAAAAUGACAUUUGUUAGACUGAUGUUUAUUUGUUCUUAUAAAAAUGAUGUGCACUCACUGCAACUGAAUCUGUUGGCUCAAUGGAGUGGUAGGGAAGCAAUUCUUCUUUUAUGUGCUCAGUGCAGGGGGAGAGGCAGACCCAUGAGCCAGAGGAAGCUAUGGGAGAACUCUGAACUCUGAUUACAUUCCAGUCUAGAUCAGGGUGCUGGAUUUCCAUCCUGUUUAAUUGAGACUGCAACACUUUAAAGAAGUUAAUCCAGGUGGUUGUGGUGGGCACUGGGAUUUUGGUACAACUUCUGUUAGCCAAGGCCAAGCCAUUGUAUAAUUUACCCAAAAUGUGGUUUAAUUUAAAGAAAGGAAAGAAGCUGAGAUAGUCUUAGAUGACUAGUUGUCGCCUCCAAACAAUCUUCAAAGGCAGCCCCAAAUACAGUGCAUUCAAACUUCAAAGCCAGGGAUGCUGCAGAACCCCCAAAGGAAUUCCAUGAUCCUCAUCUGCAACUCUUUUUUGUUUCCCACAAAGUCUCUGGGAUCUGUCACAAGAGCAGGCACCUGCAAAUUCACCACAACCUUUUGCUUUAGGCAAUAGUUGGAGGCAAUUUAGGGAUGUGUUGAACCCCCCUGUUGACUCAUUUUGAUGACUCUGACAUUCCUUGGAUAUUUUGCCCAGACAAUAACUUCCAAAACUGACUGCAGUUUCAUUGUAGGUGAAAUUUGGUAACAAUACUCCUUGAGGCUUAACCACUAUAAAAUCAAGAUGGUCACAUCUAUGGGCAGGUUCACCUGAUCAAUGGGAAGGCAGGAGGGUUCCAUCCAAGAUUGGUACAAGGCAGAGCAGAUGAUCACCAUCCCUGCUGGAGCCCUUUGCUACUCCACACACACAAUCACUUCCCCAGACCAGGCAGCGGCCCUACUUGCUUGAUCCUCCAUGGGCCGAGAUGCCUCCCCAGUGGCCCCCACCUUGUCCUAAGUUGGGCAUGGCCCAUGAUGUCACCAUUCCCAAUCCCAUUGGCUGUGAAGGCACAGUGGGUGGGCGCAGCAGCUCUGAUGCCUUCAGGUCCUUCUGGAAGACUUAGGAACUGUUUGAGCUUCCCAAAGAGGUGGGGGAGGUGUCCAAAUUGCUUCCCUGCCACCUGCUGUUCAGCUGGGUCACAACCCGGGUGGCCUGGGAAUCACCUGAUCAUGGAGAAGGGUAGGCAGCAAAGCAGAAAGGAACUGCACAGACAGGUGAGCUGUGCAAUGAGCAAGGCCUGUCUGAACUCUAGGGUUGGAUUAGGCAGAUCCGGGGACCCUGUGGCAACCUGGACAGCACCUUGCCUUGUUUCUGGCAUUCUGCCAAGUAGGCAGGAUGGGCAAGGAUGCUGCCCAGCAAUGGAGGGCAUGGAGGGACACCACCCCAGCUGCCGUCCACUGUGACCAGAGGCAAAGGGAGGGCAUCUCCAUGGGCACAUCACUCUCGGACUGGCUUAGCAAAGAGUAUGUCCCCGUCCAUCAAUUUUCCACUCCCCAUCAACAUCUCCUCCCUGGGCUAGCACAGAUUAAUUGUCCUCCGCCUGAUUUGUACUGCCCCAGUGCCUUACAUGAGGAGUGCAGUUUUUGGAAAGAGGCUUUGGCUCUGGAGAUCCAUGAUCCCUGGAAACUCCCUCUGACCAAGGGCAUCAGUGUUCUCUCUAAUUUUUUCCCCCCAUUUGUGUGCAGAAUGAGUUUUGGUCUGAGUUUUUGGUCAAGGCAGUGUGCGUGCACCUGCAUUCAGAGUGGGACUUCUUGAUUAAACCUGAGCUGUCUCUACAAUUAACUGAGUGGACAUCAAAAAAUCUGUGAGAGCACGCACGUCUUAGAGGGAACACUGAAGGGCAUCCUUGCAUGAAGGGAGACCAAGAGCCCACUGCCCAACACAUCUCAGCCCUGUCCCUCCCCAAUCACACAAUCGCACACAUGUCCCCCAUAUACCCCCCUGCCCCCCCAAGUGGACAAGCAGCAUCCCACACCACUGGUCCCACAGGCAGUAAAGCUGGCUCUUGUCACAUCCCCACCCACCCCACCCCCCGCCAGUAUCUGUUGGUGGACUGUGAGGUUUCUGGGCAUGGCAUGCUGUGUUGUAGCCUGAAGGGGCAGGAGUGUGGGCAGUGAGACAGGUGUAGUUGGGUGUUGCAGAUGAGUGUGAGAUGGUGUGUUGUCAGUCAUAGUGUAGCCAGAGGUGCUGGGGCUUGGAAGCCAUGAGGAGAGUCAGGAUGCUAGAGCACCUGUGUGUGGCAUCUGCUCUACCUGAGGAUGUCUAUGGUGGAUGCACAGUUGAGGGCACGUCACGUGCAGGUAACCAGGAUAGGUGAGAGUGUGGGUUCACAUGAUCAGUGGAUCUUAGUUUGAAGUGCUCUGAGCUCUGCUACCCUGCUUAAGAUCCUAAAUGACCAAUGCUGAUUUUCACCCCAGGAUGGAACUGAGGUUACUGGUGUGGUGUGGGUUCAUAUGAUCAUGCCAAUAUGAGUAGCCAGCAUCCAACCACAAUUCCUGAGAUCAUGUGAAACCACCCUAUAUGAACUGUUGCUAGCAUACUUGAAAACCUGAGUAAAAAUUCCCCUGAGACCAAUAUAUAAUCUGCCAAUUAUAAGCAUCAUAAGUGGUUCAGAAGACCUUCAAGGUUGUGAUACUCAGUUAGGUCAGAAAGAAUAAGAGCUCUUUAAUCUUACAUGAGACACCAGGACACAUGGAGUGUGUUACAGGAUCUUGUUUUAACUGCUAACAAAUACUGAAAUCGCCUUCUGUGCCCUUGGGAUUUGCAUGGUAUCAGUUUGUCACUGGAUUGGAUAAAUGAGCUGAAAAUUUGGUGGCAGUCAACUGAAGUGAUGGGAGGAGAAGUAGAGCUUAGGAGGGAACCCCAUCAAGCCAUUUGCAUCUGUGCUACUACCCACAGUCUUUGGUUAUCUAGAGGUUCGAGGCAGUGAUACUCCGGACUGAUCAAGCCAUCAUAUUGUUCUGAAUGGGGCUACUGACCUUCAUUGUAUCAUUGGCUGGAUGAAGCAUCUGGGCUGCUAACUUGUCCAGAUCAUCUCUGUUGAAGCUGUGGUGUGAUGGACUUUGGGGGAGCCUGUUUCAUUUUAGAUUAGGUGAGCAAGCCCCUGUUUCUGAUUCCAUCUGUGCACCAGAUAAAGACACAAGAGAGACAUCUCAGUAGUUGUUUCACUUUUCUGACAUUCUUUCUGACCUGGAGACUUGCAAAAAACAAAAAACAACAAAAAAAAAAACCCUGCCCUGAGCACAUUUAAGAAACUGGGAGCAGGCCAGCAAAAGUUAAGUGUGACUGGGCAUAGGGCUGAAGUAUCUUACUGUGCACUUUCAUUCCAUUGAGUUCAGUGGGACGUAGGCACACCCAGUUUUCUCUGGAUUGCAUCCACUGUAUAUGUACACUUCAGACUUUUGGCAAGCAUUAGGACCGAGAUGGGUGGAUAUUUGUGUGCUGUGUUUUAUUUUGUUAGUUCCCCACCCUGAGCCUUUGGAAUUCCAAUCACAACUGUGUGACAGAAUUAAAGAUUUCAGGCUCCAAGAAUGGUUUGUACAAAAGGAUUAAGGAUGAGAAUGGCCUGGCACCAGUCAAUGUUUUCCUGUUCCAGCUGGUGUUCCAAAAAGAUGACUCUACCUGCAUGGUGGGCACUUGCUACAUGGCUUUCUCUUGACUCGAGUGGGAAGAGCCUUCUUACAUGAUGUUUGUCAUAAUGUUAGCUCACAAAUAAUAGAGGCUCUGCCAAUGGCCUGGGGACUUCAUAGAAGCCAUUUUUGCUAAUGAGUCACCAAGAAGAGCCACAAAUUGAUGUAAAGAAGAAAGCAAUGCCUGAGAGAUCAUCUUUAACUGGGCUUUUCAACUUCCAUGUUGGUCCUUGCAAGGCCUUUAUCACUUCGAGUUGCUUGAUAUUUAUAGCCCAUCUUCUCCUGAAGGCUCAGGAUGAGUAACAACUUAAGCGGGGGGGGGGGGGGGGAACAGUCCGUUAAAACACCCCUGCAGUGCAGCCCAAGGAUGCUCCAGCUUGGAGUCUCGUAAGCCUGCAGGGAUGGGAAUGCCACAACUGGAGCGAGGAGCAGCCUGGCUGCACUGAUUGAAUGCUGAGUUUAAGAGGGCACUCGGAUCACAAUGGGAAGAGAUAGUUUCCAAGAUGCAUUGGGACUAAGCUGCUUGUAAAUUAAAGCAAGCAUCAAGGAACAGGAAAUGAUAUGGAGGCAGCUGGAGCAAGCUGUAAAUGUGCUCCUAGUGAACUGUCUCCUUGGGAUACAGACCACUGCAUUCUGCAUCAGCUGAUGCUUCUGCGCAUGCCCACAAAGCAGACACAUGUGCCAUGCUCUGACCAAAAGCUAUAGGGGGAGAAAUCCAAGACCCUCUCCUGCAGGGCAUCAGUAUCUUCAGUAGAUGGUCUCCUGUGUUCUCCUCUGUGCAUUCACACCUAUGAAUUUUGCACCUGUACAGAGCCUUGAUCACAGACUUCUAGAGCUUUAAGUGUAAAGCUGUUAGGUGCACAACAUGCCCCCUCCAGGCAGCUGUGCCUGCCUAAGUAGAUGUGGUCGGCACCUCACUCUUCAGUUCCUCUUCAUCUGCUGCCGCAGGACCUUCCAUUGGAGCGUUGGUGUGUUGGUUCUUUGCCUUGAGAAAGUCUGGCCUUCCGAUUCUUUGUUUCUCCCCAGCCCCCAUGGGCCAGUAGCUACCACCUCGUCAUGUAUGCAGUCUUGUGGCCAGCAAGACUUUUAAGAACUGGAGGACUGAAGUGGAAAAGGAAGUCGGAGUCUGGCACCAUAGAAUUUAGAAUCUGCACACAUCUUUUUUUGACUCCCUCUAACUAGCAUGUGAGGCACAUCCAUGCCAGUGUGCCUUUUUUCCUUUGUGCACAAAGGGGGAGGGAUAAGAUUUUGAGCAAACUUUGGCCAACCAUGCACUCCUUUGAGGUAGCAGUUUCAGCAGGAUGCUGUUCUUGUGGAACUAUUUCUGAAGUAGGCAUGUGCACAGACCAAGGUUCAUGCAUGGGUCCAAAUUCGGCCCAGUUCGGCCCAACCACGAACCAGUUCGGCAGUUCGAGGGCAGUGGGGAUGGGAGGGAGGGGAGUCACACAUGAAUUCAGACUGUAUUCACACAUGAAUUCAGACCUCUGUUUGUGCACAUGCCUAUUCUGAAAGCCCCACUGGUUGUGGAUGUUCAUGUUUGAAUGGGGAACAUUAACUUGGCCAAGGCUGUGUAUGUUUAUGGCCGAUAUUAGACUUUAAGUCAGGCUUCCUCAAGGCUUCACUCAAUCCAGGGAACCACACUGGUAUUCUGCACACUCACAUUCUUUUGGCAAGGAAGCAGACCUUUCCACGGGCACAGUUGUCUAGUGCCAAAGGUUUGAUUAAAAUCCCUUCACACUGCAUGUAGCCUUCACUGGCACAAUGUUCCAUAUGCCUUGUGUGCAGUGGUAUGUGUACUUUCACAAAUGCAGGAAAUUGUGCAAUGCACUUGCACAACUGACAGUGGCCAACAUAUUUCACAAUGUUGAGACUGUUUCCUAUCUAAUGAGUGUUUCAGCCCCACCUCUGCAACUUGUCCUUGCCACACGGUUUUGCAAAGAACACAUGCUAGGUCCAGAUGCAGUUGUCCAAUCCUACCUGACGGGGCCAGGAUCUGCAAAUGAGACAGUCAACAAAACACAGCUCCAGUGUUAAAUUCACAGAAACAGUCUCCUGUCUCCUCUGCUUCCCUGGCCUCUCUCUCCAGGCUCAGGGACCAGGUCUUCCUGCUUCUUUUAUUGUUUAUCCCUACAUUCACCAGACCUGGGAUGAGAGAGCAGUCACUUCCAGUUAAGAAGCAGACCGUUUUGAUCGAGAUAAAGUUCUGUGGUUCCCUUAGUUUGUCAAGGCGCACAGCAAUAAUGAUGGCCAAAUCCUGCUAUGAGAAUUCCCCCAACAGAAUAUGGCUGUGAUGAUGUGCAGGCAUGCACCCGCAUACACACACCUCCCUUGGGAAUGGCAGAACUGAAUGCCUGCACCCCUCAUGAAAUCUCAGACCUCAUUUAAAGUCUUCAGACAGCUUCUUGUUUCAACACUAAAAACUUGUCUUGAUUUCCUGGAGUUCUGCAUUCUGUACUAUGGAUGGUGCGGUUGUCUAUGCCUUUUCUCUGCCAUAAGCGUGACGCUUUUAAGAACCAAAGCACGCGUGACCUGGCAUUUGUGUUUUCACAUACACCUUGGUGCUUGCUGAAGUGAAUACCAUAAAUAGGGACAGGGAAGCACAAGUCUGUAAGCCUGCAGUGGAUAGCACGAGAGACCCAUGACCAUCACAGUGCCUGCGAGCAGGUCUAUUGCAUGUCUCUGAGUGUUUGGAGACCCUUGUCCUCAUGUUGCAAUUUACCUCCUCCUUACAGCACACUGCUGUACCUGCAGCAACCAUGUCUGCAACACUGAGUGUGAACCAGACCUUUGUCUAGCAUCACAGGAUGCUAGAGCUUCUGUAUAUUGCAGUACAGUAUCACUGUACAGUUUUAAGGUUUUUCAGCUCCCGCAUGCAAAAUUGAGCCAGUGGAAAUGGUUGUUUAUGUAGGCCAUGGAAGUAUAAAUCACCUUCCAAACGUCUAGGAACACAAGAAAUAAUUUCUAAACACUGAUUUGUACUCAAAUAUUGAAAACAUGCUCAACUUACCUGUAUGCUUUUAGUAGCCCUCACAAGUUUUCCAUCUUUUGCCUCACCUAGCUUUAAAGUUAGCUAUACCUGACACACUUUCCUAUUCCUAUUUUAGAUAACUUUAUCCAAGUCUCUUUGUAUACAAGGGGAAACGAAAUUGAUUCCUUCUUGUCAACAUGAGUUGGUUGGAGGGUGGGUAAGGUGGAGAAGUAUGUAUAUUUUUGUAUAUAUGUAACAGAUGAAAUCGAAAUUUUGUAGUGAUGUGUUCUGGUUUGGGGGGAAAGCAGCAAAUAAGUUUGGCAAAGCUUUGUGUUAACACUUAACUAUGGUUCAAUUGCACAGUCAAUAGUUCAGUCUAGGAAGUCAAGACUUUUUGAAUUAAAACUUAGCACAGGUUUGGUAAUAAAGUAUUUAUAAGCUGCACAAUGCAGCCUAAUGCUCUUCUGCUUCAAAAUGUGUAACAGGUCAACUACUGUAUCCAAAGCAAUGCAUUUGUUCUGAGAAAAUGUACCACAAAAUUUCUUUCAUUAAAAAUGUUUUGACACUCUA
RNA transcript from Hemicordylus capensis (graceful crag lizard), 10929 nucleotides. It is a transcript of the gene named sortilin related VPS10 domain containing receptor 2, with no coding region annotated. The transcript has 28 exons. Lineage: Eukaryota; Metazoa; Chordata; Lepidosauria; Squamata; Cordylidae. The record is from RefSeq and is a predicted model, not a curated record.